RNAcentral lists this long non-coding RNA (216 nucleotides) under Linum usitatissimum (flax). RNAcentral's name for it is "long non-coding RNA (LUSI_LNC005643)". Lineage: Eukaryota; Viridiplantae; Streptophyta; Magnoliopsida; Malpighiales; Linaceae. The record is from RNAcentral.
CGUUGUGGUGGUCAUUGUUGUUUGGGUGGAGCAGCUGGUGGUGCGUGAGGUGGUGCGGGUCUCGUCGGUGGAAGUUGAGCAGCGAGGUGGGACCUGAUCGGAAUCCGCCAUUGCUGCAGGCGAACAGAGAGAAAAAAACAACGGAGAAGUGAGCUGUGGUGGAAAGAAGGAAAAUAUAUAUAGAUAGAGAAAAUGAGGAAAUGAAAACUGAAACAG